This is a non-coding RNA of Myodes glareolus (Bank vole), 501 nucleotides long. Lineage: Eukaryota; Metazoa; Chordata; Mammalia; Rodentia; Cricetidae. The record is from RefSeq and is a predicted model, not a curated record.
CUUCAGUAGUUGGUCUGCCAACUGCUGUGGCUAUCUGUGGUGUUUAGUGCCAAGGAGAAAAAAAAAGAGAAUUUCAAGUCCAUUGAAAGGCUAUCCCUUCCAGGCUCUGCUGAAAAGUGUUUGGCCUGUACCAGGAAAAGCCUCUGUACUGCAAUGGAAUCUGUCAAUGAGAAAGCCUCAACUGGGGAGAUGAAUAUUCAAUACCUGGUGUCCCAUGGACCAGUGGAGCUCAGACGAGGCUGUAGCAGUAAGAAGUGUCAUCAGCAUUUGCACAGAGACUUCUUGGUUGUGACCAAUAGUCGGUGUAAGAUAAACUAUAAACUUCAAGAUAAUAUACAUCAUCCCGCUAGCUGCCCUGUGGAUGGGGGAAUGUGUGGUCACUGAUUUUGUAGGCCCCAUUCGGGCCAGGAAAUCCAUUCUCCUGGGAUGGCCCAUGGAGAAUUUUGUGGCCACCUUUCGUUCCUCAGCUCAAAAAAGAGAGUGGUGCAAUUUGCUUCAGAG